Humulus lupulus (European hop) is the source of this 106-nucleotide small nucleolar RNA. The record is from RefSeq and is a predicted model, not a curated record. NCBI's taxonomy places the organism in Eukaryota, Viridiplantae, Streptophyta, Magnoliopsida, Rosales, Cannabaceae.
AUCCCUAGUGGGGACAUUGAUUGAGAAAAUCUUUGAACCUUUCCCAUGAUUGGCAAAGAGUUUCAUGUUCUUUUUUAGUAAAGGUAUUGAUUUGACUUUAAAGGUU